CAUACCGUAGCCUUCCAAAUCGCGACCGCACAUUUUUUCUUCGAGAACCAAAAUUUCUGUUUAUCAUCACUUUAUGAGUAAUUAGCCAUUUUCAUUCGUUUCUGUUGGUUCUGAUUUUUUGAAGUAGUAUUGAUCAUCACACGAAUUUCUUACAAAGUUCAAUCGCGAUUAUGGUUUUGAGACUUUUUUUAAAGCGAGAAUUUCUGCUUACACAGCCGGGAAAAUUUGCUGUUUGAACGUCUCGGAGAACCGGUCCCUGUGUGAAAUAGGAAACCAUGAAUUUCAUAUUCGGUGCCGCGCUAAUGGGGAACCUGAACGAAAUCAGCAACCGGCAACCCGCGGCGUCGGCAGCAGUGUAGCAGGUCUCCAUAAACGGUAUGGACCGUAUGGUGUUAUUUGUAAUUUGCUAAUUGGAACUGUUGAGUUGAACUUACUUGUGACAGGUGUGUAAUUUUUGUUCGCAAUGUUACGCCAGAUUUUUUAUCGUUAAUGUUUCUGCGGUUUGUUAAUCGUGAUUAGCCGUGGACAAAUUCAAGAGAUUUCAGUAAGUAGCUCUUCACUGUGUUUAGAGACCCACGGUCUGGUUCUUCGAUACCGGUGUUGUUUGACUAUGGUCCAACUGAUUGCGCAACCUGCGGCAACUCAGUGCUUUAAUGGGCUGUUAUUUAUUUUAAUGGAACUUCCUUGAGCGUUUAAUGAAAAUUGUCUCUGCAUAAGGCGCAAUUGAUGACUCAAACUAGAGUCGCUGACAGAAUUCUGAAGUACAAAAUACAUACUGAGCGCCGGGAAUUUUUAUAUAUUUUUGGAAUUCGCCAGUUCUGUUUUGUUCAUUUUUCGUAUUGUCUCUGAGCACAACAUACGUAGGGAAUAGGGAUGUGGAUGCGUUAUUCCGGUGGUGAUGUUAUGCCUGUUUUUAGGUUACAAAAUUAGGAGCACGAGUGAUGGCUGUUUGAGAACAGCAUCCUCAUAGAAUCCCUCUUGUUGGUUUGCGUGAUGAAAGGAUAAGAAACUGGUAAUGGAGGAUAUUGCCCUUGUGUACUUUGUCAAGGAAGCCGCGUUUGAUAGUAGGUGUCGAUACAAGCAUGACAGGCGUCUCGGCCGGAUCGGAAACCAAUUAAGUGAAGAUUAAAACUGGAAAGUUUGCCGGAGUACUGGUUUGUCACAAGUCUCACAACGGAUGCAUUAGACCUGAUGAAUGGUACUUGCUGUUGUUUGAAUCAUCAUGGUGCUUGGCCGACUAUUCAUAUACAGGAACUUCUGUGGGCUGCCGUACCAGAUUCAGUUUAUUGUAUUGGUCGUCAAAAAGAUCGCUAACGUGGAAGGAUUAGAUAAGUUUCUAGCCAGAAGGUUCUUUUACAUCUCACACAGGAUUCGCGAAUAGUUGCGCUGCUGCAGUGGACUGCUUGCCGCUAUAGUUUUUGGCUAACUCUGCCUGGAGCUGAAUUUUUGUAUUCGAUGCGCAUUUGAAACUCUUUCUGUGAGGAAGUUGUCAGAUGUCCUUUUUAGAUGUUACCUUUGUCCAGAAGUAUUUUGUUCAAGAGUCGAGGAGAUAGCAAAAUGGAAGAAUAAAUUUACAGCUCUGUAAAUUUUGUUAAGCUCUGUAAAAUU
Long non-coding RNA from Paramacrobiotus metropolitanus, 1608 nucleotides. RefSeq lists it as uncharacterized. The transcript is spliced from 11 exons. NCBI's taxonomy places the organism in Eukaryota, Metazoa, Tardigrada, Eutardigrada, Parachela, Macrobiotidae. The record is from RefSeq and is a predicted model, not a curated record.